GGGAAGGUGGCUCAGUGGUAGAGUGCUUGCCUUGCAUGCAUGAGGCCCUGGGUUCGAUUCCUUAGCACCCA
RNAcentral lists this transfer RNA (71 nucleotides) under Dipodomys ordii (Ord's kangaroo rat). It matches the Rfam family "tRNA". From Rfam's summary of the family: Transfer RNA (tRNA) molecules are approximately 80 nucleotides in length. Their secondary structure includes four short double-helical elements and three loops (D, anti-codon, and T loops). Lineage: Eukaryota; Metazoa; Chordata; Mammalia; Rodentia; Heteromyidae. The record is from Rfam by way of RNAcentral.